This is a long non-coding RNA of Canis lupus familiaris (dog), 541 nucleotides long. RefSeq lists it as uncharacterized. NCBI's taxonomy places the organism in Eukaryota, Metazoa, Chordata, Mammalia, Carnivora, Canidae. The transcript is spliced from 2 exons. The record is from RefSeq and is a predicted model, not a curated record.
CUAUUUAUAUCGUUCCCAUCUUGAGUUUCCGGUCAGGUCAUCUCCUAACCUGGCCGAGCCUCCCUCCCUCUGGGCUCAGGUCUCUGGACCACUCCCAGGCCAAGGCGGGGGGGGGUGCCCCGUGCAGGAGAAGCCCGCAGCUCACCGAGAGGUGCCCCAGGACACCGCCAGUGUUCCCGAAGCGCGAUGGAGAUGGUCCAGGGGCCCAGAGCGGGCACGAGGGCCCAGGCCGGCUCCAGAGUGGGCAGCCCGGGCAUUUCCAGUAAAUGGGGCUCCAUUCAGGAAACGAAACAGAAGAGACACAGAAACCGACAGCUGACGUCAUAAUGCAGCUCCAAAAUAUGGGCAUCGCGUCCUCAUUUACUUGGCCAGGACUUCCUCGUUUUCACUUUCUGGUCUCUUCCGAACUGCCACCGGAGCCCCUGGAGGUCAGGGUUCAUGCCACCUGCCCCAAGCAUGGCAUUAACUUCAAGGCACGUGCAUUCUCCUAAAAAAAAAAAAAUUAAAUAAAAAAUAUGUAAGGCAAGGCGCCUGGGUGGCA